Asparagus officinalis (garden asparagus) is the source of this 286-nucleotide long non-coding RNA. RefSeq lists it as uncharacterized. The transcript has 4 exons. NCBI's taxonomy places the organism in Eukaryota, Viridiplantae, Streptophyta, Magnoliopsida, Asparagales, Asparagaceae. The record is from RefSeq and is a predicted model, not a curated record.
UCUUCUCACUUCUUUCUCCUCUUCUAUUCGUCUCAUAUUCAGAUUCACCCGCGAUCUCUCUCUAUUCUUCUCCAUUUUUUCCCCUUCCCUCUUCGAUCCAAAACGAAAACCUAGAUUUCUAGGGUUUUACCCUCCUCGAUCGCAAAAAUGCCUCUCAGACUUGAAAUUAAGAGGAAACUUGCUCAAAGGUCGGAGAGAGUGAAGUCGGUAGAUCUACAUCCAACAGAGCCAUGGAUUUUAGCGAGUCUUUACUCUGGGAGUGUUUGCAUCUGGGAUUACCAAACAG